Humulus lupulus (European hop) is the source of this 819-nucleotide long non-coding RNA. RefSeq lists it as uncharacterized. The transcript has 3 exons. NCBI's taxonomy places the organism in Eukaryota, Viridiplantae, Streptophyta, Magnoliopsida, Rosales, Cannabaceae. The record is from RefSeq and is a predicted model, not a curated record.
UCUCUCUCUCCUCAGAAAACCUCUCUCUCUCUCCCUCUCUCUCUCUCUCUCUCUCUCUCUCUCUCUCUCUCCUCUGCGUAUUACUGUUGCCGACGACGCAGGAGUACUUUCCGGCCACCAUUUUUAGCCACGCGCCGGACCGUUGGAUUCAGAGGCCUCCGAACUAUCGACCCACGCGGGAAUCUAGAGCUCACUCGCCGAUUAAACGCCUCAACCACUCGAUUUAAGUUCGGCCACCCCGCGACUUCAAAGUUGCGAUUCGGCCACCUCGGGCAUCCGUUUGCCGAUCCGUCACCACCAUCGUGCUCCUCGUGUUGUGGGCUUCAAAACCCAAUAACUUUUUCCUACAUCUACCAUAGUUGGGUGGUGGGCCCACCACGAGCCACCGCGAUCCACCGUAGACCGACGGUCGAAACUUAGUGUUCGAGGUUCCGAAGUACGUUUUGAGUCUCAGAAAAUCAUCGUUUGACUUGUUGUGGAACCCGAUCAUUUUGGAUUUGUAUGGAUUUGAUUGAUUGACUCUUGGUGAGCCGUUUUAAAAUAAGCUAAGGACCUAAGGUGUGGCUUUAGCUGUUGAGCAACUUGUGGAGCACGGACUCAGUAGCAAUGCAAUAGUGGUUUAGAGUUUUCAUAUGGCUGCCUUAAAUUUAAAGUAUUCAUACGUGUAAUAAUUUCUUCUAAUAAGUUUAUAUAAAAGAUUUAAAUUUUUCUGUAUUUCUUCGUAUCAUUUUAUUUAAUUCUUUUGGUCAAGUGCCUUACAUACUCGUAAACCCUAGAAUUACGAGUAUGUGGCAGACGUACCCUACCUUAGGGACGUUA